RNAcentral lists this long non-coding RNA (2230 nucleotides) under Pan troglodytes (chimpanzee). RNAcentral describes it as "lincRNA". Lineage: Eukaryota; Metazoa; Chordata; Mammalia; Primates; Hominidae. The record is from RNAcentral.
AUUCAGACCUUGACAGUUGUAACCGAUAGACUGGGCUGGGGCAAUGCUGAUGAAAGGCAAAUUCCUGAGAGAAAAAUCACCCAGAUUAGCAUUUUGGUGUGGAUACAGAAGACGAGAUUAACACAGAUCAAGUAACAUGGAAAUAAAAAAGGAGACAAUGCUGGAUGAUACAGGGGCAGCAACAAGAGGAGAAAACCCAAGCAUUGGCAAAUGCCUCAUUAUCCAAAGAACACUGGGCCUCAGAGUAUGUCAGCUGGGGUCAGACGGGAACAGGAGUCUGGCUCAACACACAUUUAUUGCACUCCUGCUUCAUGCCAAGAAAUGCACCAAAAUCUGGGACUGUGUAACACAGCAAAGGAAAAGACUCAUCUCCAGGAAGCCCCCUUGUCUAGGAAGAGAAAUUGAAUAUCAGCAUAAGGUGGUGAAAAGCUAUGAAGGAGAUGAGUGCCACGAGUCCAUGGAGGAAGGAUUCUAGCCUGGACAGGUGAGGAAUGGCUUUCUGGAAGAAGCAGAUGCCCCAGCUGAACUUUAAAAUGCCCACGUGAAAUGAACUGUCUGUAUGUUCAACCAGCAAAUGGAGUAGGUGGCCACUGUUUAAUUCUGGAAUGGGGAAGUGUAAAGGUGUGGUGUGUGUGUUUACCCCUACUUAGGGAUUCAAAACAGACAGUAAAGAACAAAAGUCUAGCCCUUUGAGCAUUCUCCAUGGGACAUUUGAGGUCUAGCUGGCCCCAGAGAAAGAGAAACAGAAGCAAGGUCAUAUCCAUUUGAGAAAAUCAAAGUGUCUCCUCCAAUUGAGUCUGGUGUCCUUAUUCCUGGAAUAGCCAUCCCUACUGCUCUGGUGCUGAUUUACCUCCGGCAGUUCAGUGCUUCCUGGAAGGUAGGCUGGGCUUUUUAACAAAGUGACUCCUUACUUGACAUGUUUUACCCAUACACAGAGGCCACUGCACUAUGUGCAAGAAACAACAAAAAAUUAAAUGAGACUCAAUGCCUUCCUUAGGGAUCUAAAACCCCAGUAACACAGAUAAACAGGUAAACAAAUAAUGGCAUGAUGGUGUGAUUCUAUAGCAACAGGAAUAGAGCACUGCAGGGCCACCGAAGGAAAAGGUGAUGACCUGGCUUGGAUUCAGUGAUAAAAAGGGGCUUACCUCCUUUCUCUGUUUCUGCUAAUAGCCAGUGAUUACCCCAUGCUUUUCCCAUGUUGGGCAUAGCUAUAAGUACUUUGGACAUAGCGGCACAUUUAAUCAUCAUGCAACAAUAAGAGGAAGCUGAGGCAGACAGAAGUGCCCGAAGUCACAUACUUGAAGCCAGGACUUGAACCUGGGCUAUCUGGUUCCUGAAUCCAUGCCUUUCACUAAUAAUUACUUACCCUCCAAUGAGGAACAAGCUCCAUUCUGGCCUUUCUUUAGCGAAGGCAACUGCCUGAGCUCAUGGUCUGAUCUGGCUUCUGGGAAAGAGAAAGCAGGGGAAACGUCUAGAGAUGGCAUACUGGGAGAAGAAAUUUCUUGCUGUGGAAUCCUGCCCCCAUCUCCCACCCCACCAUACACAACCCCACGUGCAUUUACACCUACACGCCGUGUACACAUGAACAUUUUUUCCCCUACUCCCAUGGGCCCCAACUCUGUCUUUUCAUCAAAAUCACCCAGAGUUUUAAAUAAAAUGCAGAUGUUGAGGCUUGUUCCUAAAUUAUAAUCUUGGGCAUCUAAAUUUUUUGAUUAAAAAAAAUUGACAUGCAUGCUUAAAGUAAAAAUUUAGACAAUACAGCAAAGAAUGUGUUUGUACCCCUCCCACCUAGCCCUUGGUUCUUCCCAAAGGCAAAUACUUAACCGUUCCUUGUUAUCCUUCCAGAAAACAAUAUAUGCAUAUAUUCAUCUUUUUUUUUCUUCCUCUGUAGGUGAUUGUGGUGAAUAGUCAUGAGAAUCUGGGAACUGGCUCCUGCUCUGUCUAUCUUGGAGAUGCAUCUUUUGUGAGAGGACAGGGCAAGAAUAGGGAGGCUUAGGCAAUGGGGAGUUUCUGAGUAGAUAAAGCAGAUGGCAGAGCAAAGGGACAGAGCCUGGCGAGAGGCUACUCCCUGUAGCAACCUGCCUAAGAGUGAGAGGAAAGCAAGGCAUGGCUAUGAGCACAUGUAGUCUCAGCUACCUGGGAAGCUGAGGCUGGGAGAUCACUUGAGCCCGGGAGUUCAAGACCAGCCUAGGCAACAUAGUGAGACCAUGUCUCUUUAAAAAAAAAAAAA